RNAcentral lists this ribosomal RNA (253 nucleotides) under uncultured bacterium. RNAcentral's name for it is "partial 16S ribosomal RNA". It matches the Rfam family "Bacterial small subunit ribosomal RNA", at positions 524 to 776 of the family's 1533-position model. The record is from RNAcentral.
UACAGGGGGUGCAAACGUUGCUCGGAAUUAUUGGGCGUAAAGCGCGCGUAGGCGGCUACCUAAGUCGGAUGUGAAAGCCCCUGGCUCAACUGGGGAAGUGCACCCGAAACUGAGUAGCUAGAGUGCAAAAGAGGGUCGCGGAAUUCCCGGUGUAGAGGUGAAAUUCGUAGAGAUCGGAAGGAACGUCAAUGGCGAAGGCAGCCACCUGGCAUAAUACUGACGCUGAGGCGCGAGAGCGUGGGGAGCGAACAGG